Molecule: non-coding RNA, 302 nt
Organism: Pelobates cultripes (western spadefoot toad)
Lineage: Eukaryota; Metazoa; Chordata; Amphibia; Anura; Pelobatidae
Source: the annotation of a GenBank genome assembly
CGUGAGAAUAUGCAGCGGGGCGGGAGUCAGUGUCAUGUCGUUUGGUCAGUCGGCUGUUGGGUGGUGCUGUAUCGGUGUCGUUGUCCAAGUCCCUACUGUGUGUGUGUACCAGGUGUGGCCCGUUCGUCGCGGUCAGAGUGAGGACAAGGUGUCAGGGUUCGAGGUGGGGUAGAGAGAGGGAUAAGGUAUCUUGGGAUUCGUGGAGAUGUCCUGUGAUCUCCAGUGGGUGUGUUCCGGUCUCGGGACCGUCAGGUGCAGACGUCGGGGAGUUUCAAUCCACGGUGCCACCAGUGGCUCCCGUG